RNAcentral lists this ribosomal RNA (254 nucleotides) under uncultured bacterium. Its description in RNAcentral is "partial 16S ribosomal RNA". It matches the Rfam family "Bacterial small subunit ribosomal RNA", at positions 524 to 776 of the family's 1533-position model. The record is from RNAcentral.
CACGUAGGGGGCAAGCGUUGUCCGGAUUUAUUGGGCGUAAAGAGCUCGUAGGCGGCUCGGUAAGUCGGGUGUGAAAACUCGGGGCUCAACCCCGAGACGCCACUCGAUACUGCUGUGGCUUGAGUCCGGUAGGGGAGUGUGGAAUUCCUGGUGUAGCGGUGAAAUGCGCAGAUAUCAGGAGGAACACCGAUGGCGAAGGCAGCACUCUGGGCCGGUACUGACGCUGAGGAGCGAAAGCGUGGGGAGCAAACAGG